Molecule: long non-coding RNA, 224 nt
Filed under: Homo sapiens (human)
Lineage: Eukaryota; Metazoa; Chordata; Mammalia; Primates; Hominidae
Description: LHRI_LNC823.1
Source: RNAcentral
GGGCACGGUGGCUCACGCCUGUAAUCUCAGAAUUCUGGGACGCCGAGUCGGACGGAUCACCUGAAGUCCGAAGUUCGAGACCAGCCUGGCCGCCUUGGCGAAACCCCGUCUCCACUAAAAAUACGAAAUAAAUUAGCCGGGAGUAAUGGCGCGCGCCUGUAAUCCCAGCUAGCCGGGUGGCUGAGGCACGAGAAUCGCUUGAACCCGGAGGUUGUAGUGAGCCG